This 85-nucleotide transfer RNA is filed under the name Candidatus Marsarchaeota G1 archaeon OSP_B. RNAcentral describes it as "tRNA-Ser". It matches the Rfam family "tRNA". Rfam says of the family: Transfer RNA (tRNA) molecules are approximately 80 nucleotides in length. Their secondary structure includes four short double-helical elements and three loops (D, anti-codon, and T loops). RNAcentral also lists the same sequence under 3 other names. The record is from RNAcentral. Lineage: Archaea; Thermoproteati; Thermoproteota.
GCUGGGGUCUCCUAGCCAGGUAGGGAGGGGGCUUGCUAAGCCCUUGGCCUAAAAGGCCGCGCGGGUUCAAAUCCCGCCCCCAGCG